Molecule: ribosomal RNA, 549 nt
Filed under: Triticum aestivum (bread wheat)
Lineage: Eukaryota; Viridiplantae; Streptophyta; Magnoliopsida; Poales; Poaceae
Description: partial small subunit ribosomal RNA
Source: RNAcentral
AUGGACAACUACCAGGAAGAGUGUGCCACCAUCUCUGACACCGCUCUGUCUGGAGCAUCCCAUCCCAAAACCAUUCAGCUAAGAGCUCUGAUUGGAAAUCAAGUUGUGUUAAUACUUCUGGAUUCAGGGAGCACUCACACCUUUGUGGAUCAAGCAUUGCUGGACAGAGUUUCAGUACCUGCCUAGACAAUGAAGAAACCCAUGCAAGUGAAAGUGGCAAAUGGAGGACUGGUGGAUUGCACCAAAUUUGUACCUGAACUGACCUGGUGGAUUCAGGGGCAUAGUUUUUCCAGUGCCAUGCAAGUUCUUCCACUAGGAGGGUAUGAUAUUAUCCUAGGAAUGGACUGGCUGGAGAAAUGGGGUGUGAUGUAGUGACACUGGGCUGAGAAGUGGAUUCAGUUUGAAUAUCAACAGAAAACUGUCAGAUUGCAAGGAGUACUGCCUGCUAAAACAGAACCAAUUAAGGAAGUUUCUAUGGAACAACUCAAGAAGUGGGAAAAAGGAAAUGACAUAUGGGGAACAGCUAUGUUGCAUCAUAUUGUUGUCAGU